RNAcentral lists this ribosomal RNA (89 nucleotides) under Lentisphaerota bacterium. RNAcentral describes it as "Lentisphaerae bacterium partial 16S ribosomal RNA". It matches the Rfam family "Bacterial small subunit ribosomal RNA", at positions 1 to 85 of the family's 1533-position model. Lineage: Bacteria; Pseudomonadati; Lentisphaerota. The record is from RNAcentral.
UUUACUAUGGAGAGUUUGAUCCUGGCUCAGAAUGAACGCUGGCGGCAUGGAUUAGGCAUGCAAGUCGAACGGAGACCCAGGCUUCGGCC